CAUUAAAGAGUUCUAUAACUCCCAAACCCAUGUGAACAUACCUAACGUUGCCUCGGCAGGUCGCACCUACCUUGUAGCACCCUACCCUGUAGGGCCUACCCGGGAGGUGCGGGUAAGCCUGCCGGCGGCCCACCAAACUCUGUUUGAUAUUGAAUUCUGAACCUAUAACUAAAUAAGUUAAAACUUUCAACAACGGAUCUCUUGGUUCUGGCAUCGAUGAAGAACGCAGCGAAAUGCGAUAAGUAAUGUGAAUUGCAGAAUUCAGUGAAUCAUCGAAUCUUUGAACGCAUAUUGCGCCCAUUAGUAUUCUAGUGGGCAGGACCGUUCGAGCGUCAUUUCAACCCUUAAGCCUUCGUUGCUUAGUGUUGGGAGCCUACGGCAACGUAGCUCCUCAAAGUUAGUGGCGGAGUUGGUUCACACUCUAGACGUAGUAAUUUUUUAUCUCGCCUAUUAGUUGGACUAAUCCCCUGCCGUAAAACCCCCAAUUUAUCAAGGUUGACCUCGAAUCGGUUCAGACAAACUCGCUAAAUUGAAGCAUCUUAGUCAGCGAAGGAAAAGAAACCAACAGGGAUUGCCCUAGUAACGGCGAGUGAAGCGGCAACAGCUCAAAUUUGAAAUCUGGCCCUCGGGUCCGAGUUGUAAUUUGUAGAGGAUGCUUUUG
RNAcentral lists this ribosomal RNA (661 nucleotides) under fungal endophyte. RNAcentral describes it as "eukaryotic LSU rRNA". The stretch from base 182 to 335 matches the Rfam family "5.8S ribosomal RNA". The record is from RNAcentral. Lineage: Eukaryota; Fungi.